This 497-nucleotide ribosomal RNA is filed under the name uncultured bacterium. RNAcentral's name for it is "partial 16S ribosomal RNA". It matches the Rfam family "Bacterial small subunit ribosomal RNA", at positions 28 to 507 of the family's 1533-position model. The record is from RNAcentral.
GAUGAACGCUGGCGGCGUGCCUAAUACAUGCAAGUCGAGCGAACAGACGAGGAGCUUGCUCCGCUGACGUUAGCGGCGGACGGGUGAGUAACACGUGGAUAACCUACCUAUAAGACGGGGAUAACUUCGGGAAACCGGAGCUAACACCGGAUAAUAUAUUGAACCGCAUGGUUCAAUAGUGAAAGACGGUUUUUGUGGCACUUAUAGAUGGAUCCGGGCCGCAUGAGAUAGUUGGUAAGGUAACGGCUUACCAAGGCAACGAUGCGUAGCCGACCUGUGAGGGUGGUAGGCGACACUGGAACUGGGACACGGACCUGGCUCCUACGGGACGCAGCAGUAGGGUAUGGUCCGCAGUAGGCGAAAGCCUGGCGGAGCAGCGCCGCGUGAGUGAUGAAGGUCUUCGGAUCGUAAAACUCUGUUAUGAGGGGAGAACAGAUGUGUCAGUAACUGUGCACGUCUUGACGGUACCUAGUCAGAAAGCCACGGCUAACUACGUG